Molecule: long non-coding RNA, 676 nt
Filed under: Brassica rapa (field mustard)
Lineage: Eukaryota; Viridiplantae; Streptophyta; Magnoliopsida; Brassicales; Brassicaceae
Description: long non-coding RNA (BRAP_LNC002416)
Source: RNAcentral
GAAUGUCUAACCACUUUCUAGCACCAUUCUAGAUUUACUGACUGCAAACAAUACUAUAGAUGCUAAAGUGGAUCGACCAGUCAACUAUGCACACUUGCUAACUUGUUAGAAAGAACCGAAGCUAACCUCCAACACUAACCUGACUUCACUGCUUGUUUUGGGGCUUGGUAUACAUGGGAUCGGAUUUUUCAGACAAGUCUGGAAGGUAACGCCUGGUUUAGAUUAUUUAUCACAUUUUCUCUCUCUAGAUUUUGACCCUAGAUAUGUUAAAAAAAAAUGUAUAUAUAUAAUAAUAAUAAUAAUAAAAAAAAAAAAGGAAAGAUCUAUUGUUUAAUUAGGACGAGUCUGAACAGGACUUGGUGGCUAAAACCAUUAAGGCUUGAUUCAUAAAGAUUCAAAUAAAAGAGUUCGAAACGGGACUUGGAGGCGGCAAUCUUCAAGGCUCGCUUUCGCAAAGAACUCUCGGAUAUAGGUCAAAAAGAAGUGAACAGAACUUGGUGGCAACCACCAUUAAGUUUUGAUUCGUGGAAGCCUGUCCAAUUUUGGUCAUUGAUCCUGCAAUGGAAGCAGACUUUGAUCCAAGAGAGAAAUUUAGAGAGAGAGAAACUAGGAACUAACUUUUACCUGCAGCCCCAGAUACUUGUCUGAAAUCCUUGCAUCCUGUGAUCGAUACUCC